AACGAACGCUGGCGGCAGGCCUAACACAUGCAAGUCGAACGCUCCAGCAAUGGAGAGUGGCAGACGGGUGAGUAACACGUGGGAACCUUCCCUUUGGUUCGGAAUAGCCCAGGGAAACUUGGGGGUAAUACCGGAUAAGCCCUUACGGGGGAAAGAUUUAUCGCCGAAGGAUGGGCCCGCGUCGGAUUAGCUAGUUGGUGGGGUAACGGCCUACCAAGGCGACGAUCCGUAGCUGGUCUGAGAGGAUGAUCAGCCACACUGGGACUGAGACACGGCCCAGACUCCUACGGGAGGCAG
RNAcentral lists this ribosomal RNA (297 nucleotides) under uncultured Pseudomonadota bacterium. Its description in RNAcentral is "uncultured proteobacterium partial 16S ribosomal RNA". It matches the Rfam family "Bacterial small subunit ribosomal RNA", at positions 29 to 351 of the family's 1533-position model. The record is from RNAcentral. Lineage: Bacteria; Pseudomonadati; Pseudomonadota.